CCUACGGGAGGCAGCAGUGGGGAAUAUUGGACAAUGGGCGAAAGCCUGAUCCAGCAAUUCCGCGUGUGUGAAGAAGGCCUUCGGGUUGUAAAGCACUUUAGGUUGGGAAGAAAAAGCUUCGGUGAAUAUCCGGAGUGUUGACGGUACCAACAGAAUAAGCACCGGCUAACUCUGUGCCAGCAGCCGCGGUAAUACAGAGGGUGCAAGCGUUAAUCGGAUUUACUGGGCGUAAAGCGUGCGCAGGUGGUUUCGUAAGUCGGAUGUGAAAGCCCCGGGCUCAACCUGGGAACUGCGUUCGAUACUGCGAGACUAGAGUUUGGUAGAGGGUGGCGGAAUUCCCGGUGUAGCGGUGAAAUGCGUAGAUAUCGGGAGGAACAUCAAUGGCGAAGGCAGCCACCUGGGCCUGAACUGACACUGAGGCACGAAAGCGUGGGUAGCAAACAGGAUUAGAUGCCCUGGUAGUCCACGCCGUAAACGAUGAGAACUUGACGUUGGUUCGUUUUACGAAUCGGUGUCGUAGCUAACGCGAUAAGUUCUCCGCCUGGGGGNGGUACGGCGCGAGUAGAACGACAANAGAGUAGUAGCGUGAGAGUGCGACGACGACGACGAGGGAGGAGG
Molecule: ribosomal RNA, 618 nt
Filed under: uncultured bacterium
Lineage: Bacteria
Description: bacterial SSU rRNA
Rfam family: Bacterial small subunit ribosomal RNA (bases 1-542)
Source: RNAcentral